CUGCAGUUAGUUAAGUCAACUCACUACUUCCCCAAUGGAGGCUCAGUGUGCAGUGGCUUCAGAAAGCAGAUUCCUUGUUUGUGUAUGCAGCUCAUCCUUUAUGUGUUAGUAUGAGGGACCUGGGAGUUGUUU
Small nucleolar RNA from Pteronotus mesoamericanus, 132 nucleotides. RefSeq annotates it as small nucleolar RNA SNORA70. The transcript has a single exon. The record is from RefSeq and is a predicted model, not a curated record. Lineage: Eukaryota; Metazoa; Chordata; Mammalia; Chiroptera; Mormoopidae.